CAGCAGCCGCCACGGUAAUACGGAGGGUGCAAGCGUUAUCCGGAUUUAUUGGGUUUAAAGGGUCCGUAGGCGGAUCUGUAAGUCAGUGGUGAAAUCUCACAGCUUAACUGUGAAACUGCCAUUGAUACUGCAGGUCUUGAGUAAAUUUGAAGUGGCUGGAAUAAGUAGUGUAGCGGUGAAAUGCAUAGAUAUUACUUAGAACACCAAUUGCGAAGGCAGGUCACUAAGAUUUAACUGACGCUGAUGGACGAAAGCGUGGGGAGCGAACAGGAUUAGAUACCCGAGUAGUCCCUGUCUCUUAUAC
RNAcentral lists this ribosomal RNA (304 nucleotides) under uncultured bacterium. Its description in RNAcentral is "partial 16S ribosomal RNA". It matches the Rfam family "Bacterial small subunit ribosomal RNA", at positions 509 to 807 of the family's 1533-position model. The record is from RNAcentral.